GCGUCUGUACUUUUUCCUGUUAGUUGGAAGUCAUCGCCUGAGUGGUUUGCAUCCUAACAGCUAGGAAAACCGUGGGAGAAGUGACAGGGCCUUUUCGGGCGUCUGCCUGCUUCUAUUUCUGAGCUCGAAACGUGGGCCAUGCUGUUGGAAAUGGGAAGAGAGGUGGGAAGGAAGGAUGGUGGCCUACUUAACCUCUCUCUCCGGAGCCUUCUUGGAUGAGCUCAAGCAGCGGCUAACGUGUCGAACUCAGUACUCUCCAAACCCUGCCCCAGUACGUCGUUCUCCUCUAACACACCAGUGUGUAGCCAGAGUACGUGAAGGCAGGUACUUGCCUUACUUACCUCUGAACCUCGGAUUCCCGUGUGUAAUGUAAUAAAGUAAGACUUUAAUGUGUUCGAGGUGGAUUAAGCGGAGAUGUGCAGACAUCGGAACAGGAGUCAGUCUGGUUCUAGAAAGAUCGGAACAACACUCACCACGGUGUUGACCUCUGACAUGCUCAUUCAGAUCUUAGCUCAAACUCAAGAGACGCUUUUUCUUGACUACGCUGGCUGGAGUAGGGCUGGUUAGUCUCUACCCGAUUGCCUUGUAUACUUUUCUUUAAAACGCUUAUCACUAUUUGAAAGUUUCUAUGUAGUUUUUUGUUUUGUUUUGUUUUGUUUUGUUUUGUUUUUUUAUUUGCUCGGAAUAGAAAAUAAGCAUCACGGAAUCUUGGGUUUUGUACAUUGCUGUUUCCGAGGGGGUAAAACAACCGCCAGCACAGCAAAUAGAGUGGAAUGCGUUGUCGUUUGUUUUGAAAUCAAUCUGAGUAGCUUAACUAUGUUCCUACAGAAUAGCUCUUUCAAAGGGAAGUAAAUUAGUUUGUCCCUAAUUUUGAGAGAAUCUACAGCCUUUUAUGCUAAUUAAGAUAAGUAUAACCAGCUUGGUGGGGUCACAGUGAAUAAAUUAUCACAAGAAUGGUAAGCAAAUUUAACUUCCAUGACAAACAUAGUUUAAUACAUUAAGGUUAAGUAUUCAUAACCUCAAGAUUAUAAAAAAUCAGAAUAUUACUAGAAAGUUCUUGUCUCUUCUUUGUGGAUAGAUUUUAACAGAAAUUCAACUCCAUGAUAUAAAAUACAUAAAGGCUUAACUCUAACUUUAUAGUCAUUGUAUGUAAAUAUCCAUUAAUCUUUGCCAUAAUGCUAACCUGCUUUGGAUUUCUUAAAGUAGCCCCUGGUUUCUUAUAGUGGAUACUGUAUUAAUUUUGAUAAACCUCCAGAAGCCUUGACUUGCCAAAUAAGUUUGAAGAAUAAAGCAGAUCUUGCUGUGUUACCUUGUUUAAACCCUCACAAUGCUGGAUCACGUAAUAAGGUCUUCAUGGCCUUAGAUUAAAAUACUUACCCAGGGGUCCCUGAGGGGCUCAGUCGGUUGGGCGUCCAGUUCUUGAUUUCCACUCGGUUCAUGAGAUUGAGCACUCAGUUCAUGAGAUCAAGGGGGGCACUUUGCUGACAGCUUGGGCUGCCCCUCCCUGCUCAAGCAUGUCCGUGUGCUCUCUCAAAGUAAAUAAACUUAACAAAUAAAAUACUUCUGCAGCUGUCUUGGUGUUUACACCUUGAUGUUAGAUACAAUGAUGUGUUUUCAUAACAUACUUGUCCUGCUGGGCAGUCUUCAAAAUUUCCCCAAGUGCUGAAAAUUAAGGAAAUGUCAGUUUUAGAGUUCCUUAGAAUUUCCCUUGACCCUAAAUUCUUUGAGAAAUCCCAUCCUUUGCAGACUUUGCAGCAGUAAAGCAAAGUACCAAGGUCUACCAAGAGACGUUGCCUUACUGCUGUACCUCAGACACAUUCAGCAGCUGCCUAGAUGUAGUAAACAGAGGUGUUGAGUGAUUUUCCCAAGAUCACUCAGCAAGGAUGAGCUAGAACAUGGAAUCAGACUCCGGUCCUCUAACUCCAAAUCCGUACGUGUGUGACCAUAGGGUGCGGUGGGGAGAGGCACAGAAAUUUUCACUUAUGCUGUGGUACUUGUAAAGUUCUGUAGUGUCUUCAAGACAAAGGAAGGGAUAUCUCCAUCCCCAUUUGGAUGUUUGCUUAACCACCAAGCUUGGUGAUCUAUCCCAGCGCUAUAAAUUUGGAGCUCCUGACCACACCACCAGAGGAGGAAGCACACGGAAGAGGUGUGUGUAAAGAGAGCUGGAUCCACAGGUCUAGUCUACCCUGGAGGGGCGUGAGUAUUUUUAAAUUAAAUUAUGAGAUUGAUGUUUUAAAUGAGUAGGACUAAAUCUCAGUACCUGGAAUUAAGAGUCUAAUAAACAGGGAGGCUGCUAUCCCAAAACAAUGAAGUUCAGCAAAGUACCAAGAAUAGAAAAUAUGACACUUUCAGGGACAUGCCUCUUGAGCUGAGAUUCUCAAACUGGUUAUACAGUUUUGUCUCCCCCAGUAUCUUUAGACAGGGAUUGUUUCUUACUCACCUUUCAAGCUUUGGUGUCUAGUGUACAAUAUAGUGCAUGGGACAUACAAUGUAUGUGGGUAAGUGAGUGAAUGCAUCCAAACUGUAAGAACUACGUAACUUAAUUCUCCUUUAGUCCACAGGCUCCUUCAGAGAGAUAAGGAAUUAAGGUUAUUUCUGUAAAAUCUCUACAAUUUCCACCCCACAGAGAGAACUUUCAGUCCACUUUUACUUCUUUUUCUAAUCAGCUCUCCUUCUCUCUCAAUAAACAUAUACAUAAUUCCUCUAGGAAAAGUAUGUUUUUCCCCUUAAAUGUUAUGUGACUUUGAUCUACAUUACCAAAAGGCUCUCACAGGCUCUAGAGACCCUUCCCUUUCUUUUAGGAAUCUACAUGUUCUGUCCCCAGCACUCCACUCCAUUUCCUCUGCCACCAUCUCCUCCCGUUUCUCCAUAAAUACCCUCCUAACUCUGGCCUUACCAUGAACCAGCUCUGUCCAUGUCUGAAGCCACUUUCCCACUUCAGCAUCACUUUGGGGAAUCAGGGAGAGAGGACUGGGAGACAAUAUUUCCUAUCUCUUGCCUCAAAUAUCUAUACACGUGGGGACAGGAAGGUGAAAAGAUAAACAGGGCCAGAGUCUUGUUUUUUAUUCUUAGCCUCUUGUGAAACCAUCUUCCACCAAACAUUUCCGUAGCAUAGACAUGCUUCAUUAGAGCUUCUUUGUUCUCCCCAGCAAUCCUACACUUUCUCCUGAUACCUCCAACACUUCUUGUCUUUGGAUAGCUUGCCAGAAGUACUUUUGUCUGACAUCAAUCUGUGUGUGUGUGUGUGUGUGUGUGUGUGUGUGUGUGUGUAUCAAAUUUGUAUGAAAUUUUACAUUAUUUGUCCUUUCUAAAAAUCCAGAUCUUUACCUUUUUUUAGCCCUAAAAAAAAGGAGUCAAAUUGAGUCAAUUCUGGUGUUUUGGCUAUGCCAUAUCAGGGCAUAAGCAGCUACAGAGAAACUGAAAAAGGAAGAAAAGAAUCUGGUCCCUGCCCUGUUUUCUGGUUAAGGAGGAGGAGACUUUGGAGAAGGGCAGCCAAAGCAUGCUUUGUAACAAGCCAAAAAUAUGCCCUUGAAAGCUGAGGCCUAAACUGUGCCUAUAAGAUGGUAAACAAGCUUGACUGUGGCUUUGGCUUCUUCACAGUAAGGAAUAAUUCUUUCACAUUCUUCUACAUACUUAAACAGAAAUAGAUCAUAAAGAGCCAGGAGACAUUCUAAAGAAUUGAAGCAAAUGGAAGAAUUUAAUAAAUAGAAAAGAACUAAACAAAUGAAGUAAAAAAAUAAGCAGCAAAAAUAUAUUUUCUUAAAGCUAAAAACAUUUUAGAAAGUGUCAAAGAAAUAAUUACCAAGCCCCAGGUGGCUGGGACAAAUGACUUGCAAUCAGAGGCCAGAAUACAAAACAUAAUACAAAACAUAAUUAUUCAUUAACUCGCAGGGUAGCCUCUGCUACAUGUUACUUCACCAACGGAAGUGUGUGCUAAGGACAGUGAAUUCUACACUUAAAUAUCUAAUAAUUCGAGAGAGUCAUUCCUGUCCCAUAUUGCAAAAAAAAAAAGUGGUAUGAGGAAAAGUGGUUAAAUGGAAUCAAGACGAGUCCUAGAAUCUAAUAUAUUUGAACUGGGCUGGGCAGCAGGCUACUCACUGACAUAGUGGCUGAAUACAGUAGUUCUGGUGACAGAGGAAAAGCUCUGAGGCAGCCCGGGAUUUUAUGCCCUCACUGCUUUUUCUGAUGAUGGGCUCACACCAUUCCUUUUCCAUAAGUAAAGCAUCAGAGUUUACUCACUCCACCCUCUGGCCAAGAAGUACAAGUUCACGAUGGGAACCAUACUCCAGGCUUUUACUUAUCAGGAUGUGAAAUGAGAAAGAAAAUAUGCAACUGAUAAAGCUUAGAGACAGAAUCAGGAAGGAAGAAAAAUAAAUUUGAAAACAGAUCAUUUAGCAGUUGCUGUUAGAAACAAAUUCCAGCCACCCCAAAGCCAUUGGCUGAGUACCCCCACCCCCAGGAUUCCUCAUGCCCACUGGCCUGCUCUGCCCACAGGACCCUGGGCUGGCUGUGGAGGGGCUGCCAACAGUGGCCCUGACCUUCCUUGCUAGAGCACACCUCUUUGCGGGGUUGCUCCUUCCAAGCAUAUGCGUGUGUUUGUAUGGAACAGUUACUUGCCAUGUUGGGGCAGUUUUAGGAAUUGCUUCUGAUUAAAAAAAAAAAAACAAAGAAAGAAAAAAAUUCUAGAUUAAAAAUAAAGUUUCUAUCUAAAUUCAGUUCCCUUGACAUGGAAUUUUUUUUAUUAAAUUCUUUUGCAAUUUUUUUAAGGUUUUUUGUUUGUUUUUAAGUAAUCUCUACACCCACUGUGAGGCUCAAACCCAUGACCCCAAGAUCAAGAGUCAUAAACUCUCUUCAGACAGCCAGGUGCCCCUGGAACUUUUUAAUGGUAGGUAGAGUUCAGUACCAGUAAAGGACAUUUAUCAUACUUUCUGUCUACCCAGCAUAUCUUUGAUGUAAUUCCAGUAUCUGGGGGAAUUUCCCACCUUGUGGGUCCACCUCCCCAGGAUAGAAAGCUGGAACUUGCUUUUCCAGGCCCCCUUGCAGCUAGGACCCACAGAUGUGACAGAGACAUCCAUUUGAAAAAAGUGAUGGGAAAAGCAAGGCAUCUCAUGGAAUACAUUUUGUGCAAGGGAAGAGGUGUGAGGCCAAGAUAUAUGCAGCUUUCACAGGUAGUGGGGACAGAAGUUCUGGCGCGUAACCCCACAAUAGUGAUGACUGUCUCCAAUGGAAACUACAUCAUUCCUGGUUCUAUAGCUUCCAAGCUUGAUUCUCUACUUCCAGAUUUUUUCCUUUGAAAAAGGAUCCUUUUCUGUUUAACUAGGGUGGAUUUUGUUUCAAACGUUCAGCGUGUAUUUAUUGAGUGCAAUCUGUGUUCUAGGAACUGGCUUUUAGCAAUGCAAUAAAACAGGAACAGAUUCUUAUCCUAAUAAAACUCACACUCUGGUAGGGGAGACAGAUGAUAAAGUAAAUAUAUGAUAAUGCUAUAUACCAUAUGAUAAGCAUCACAAGACAAGACGUGCCAUAGAGAAAAGUAAAGCAGGUAAGGAGGAGAAAUGCCAGGGGUGAGGUGUAGCACAUUUAAAUAGGGCCGUCAGGAAAGCUCUGACCAAGAUGACAUUUGAAUAAAGAUCUGAAGGAUGUAAAGGAAGAAAUCAAAUGGGUAUCUAGGUCCGCAUUCUAAGUAGAAGGGACACAAAGAGUACUUGUGCCCGUGAGCAGGAGUGUACUUGGCACAUUCCAGGAAGAGCAAGGAAACCAGUGUGGCUGGAACACUGAACACGGGGAAAAGUAGUAGCAGCUGAGGACCAAGAGGAGAGUGAUCCAAUAGGUGCUGGCAGGUUACCGCAGGGGCUUUUGAGAGUGGGAACGUUGAAGGUUUUCAGCAGAGGAGACACAUAAGAUUGUCUGCUGCAUUGAAAACAGACAUAUGGGAAGGAAACAGGUAAAAGCAGAAAACAAGAGAAAAAUGAGGAACCUACUGUCACAAACGAGGUGAAAGAUGAAGAUGGUUUGGUCCAUGGUGGUAACGGAGGCGGGUGAAGAGAAACAGUCUGAUUCUGGAUAUAUUUUGAAGGUAUAACUGACACCAUUUAUUGACAGGUUGGUUUGCGGACAUUCUGAUGACUUAAUGCUUCUGACAUAUAGAAUUAGCAUAUAUAACAUAAUGUGUUUUCUAAGAAUCAAAAGGCAGAAAUAUAUGUAUUCUCAACAGUGGUGGUAGUAGAAACCCUCUUGCAUUAAUACAGAGCUUUAGCAUUAACACUAUCUGACACAUGUAAUGAUGUAUGUCAUCAUUACUGUGUUGAAGUCAUUUAAACCAUGUUUUCAGUGGGGGCACCUGGCUGACUCAGUCGGGUAGAGAAAGCGAUUCUUGAUCUCAGGGUUGCAAGUUCGAGGCCCACGUUGGGUGUAGAGAUUACUUAAAAACCUUAAAAAAUUUUUUUUCAGUACUAUGUGUAUGUAGGAUAUGGUAAUUUGAUAACAUCACCAAAAAUUCACAUAGCACUAGAGUUUACAAAGCACUCUAACAACCAUUAUUUAAACUCACAACCACUUCAAGAGAACGGUAAUUCCCUGUUUUACAGAUAUGGAAACUGAAAUCUAGAAACAUAAGUGACUUGCCUCGGGUCAGCUCCUGGAGAGCCAGCCUUGAACAUGGCCCCAGAUCCUUUAACUCACAGAUGAAAGUGCUGUACCACAGCUACACUACAAGGUGGCCAUCUCCCAGGUUUCACUUUUAUUUCUUAGUCGUGAAAUAUUAUCUACAUCUGUAUCUUAAACGCUAAGUCCAUAUGCUGUGGACAGAUUGUUUCCCCCGCCCCCUCACUCCACAAAUUCUUAUGUUGCAGUCCUAACCCCCAAUGUGACUGUAUUAGGAGGUAAUUAAGGUUAAAUCAUAAAGGCAAGCCCUAAGCCCAUAGGACCGGUGGGCUUGUAAGAGGAAGACAAAGAUAUUUCAUUUUCUACACGUACACACACCUGAACAUACAGUGAGAUGGUGGCUAUGUACAAGCCAAGAGAAAAGGCCUCAGAAUGAAAUCUACCUUGCUGGCACCUUGACCUUGGCCUUCCCAGCCUGAGAAAUCUGAGAAAUUUUGUUGUUUAAGCCAUCCAGUCAAUGGUAUUUUGUUUUGGCAGCCUGAGUAGAUUAAUACACCCUAUUAUGGAAAAGAAGGGUGGUUUAAUCUAGAACAGUCUUAAUGUUGGCCAAUUUAACAUACACACAAAACCCCAAAGAACGUUCAAUCCCAACUUCACUUUCAGGCCAUGUAAUCUAAACCACACAAAGUCCACAAGCCAGCAGAGAUUAGUCGUUUUAUACCCUAUUCAGCUGGCCCCUCAACUCCAUUCACAGCCAUGGAGUCAUACUCCUAGACUCUGGGGGAGCAACAUGUGCCAAUGCCACGUCACCAGUGAAUCUCUUACAAUCUCUUUCAUACCUUCAAUACCUGCAUUGUCCAAUCAAGUAGCCACUAGUCAUAUACAGAGAGUAAGUAUUUGAUAUAUGGCUACUCUGAAUUGAGAUGUGCUAUAAGAAUAAAAAAGACACUGGAUUUCAAAGACUUAAUAUGAAAAAAAGAAUGUAAAAUAUAUUAAUAAUUAUUAACAGCUGAAUAUUAUUUUGGAUAUAGGGGGUUAAAUAAAACAUUACAAAAAUUAAUUUCACGUUUCUUUUUACUGUUUUUAAUGUGCUGCUAGAUAAUUUAAAAUUACAUACAUGGCUUGCAUUUGUACUUUGCAUUGUCUUUCUAUUGCUUCUCCAUACAGUCCCUUAGUCCUUUUUUUUUUUUUUUUUUUUUUAAAGAAGGCACCACACCCAGCAUGGAGCCCAAUACAGAGCUUGAACUCAUUACCCUGAGAUUAAGACCUGAACUGAGAUCAAGAGCCGCUUAACUGGAUGGACCACCCAGGCAUCCCUCCUAGUUUUUUUGAUAUACUCACUCUUUCCUUAGAAUCUCAGCUCGUUUUUCUUGGGUCUUGCCUCCAAAGAAUGCUGUCUUUUUCUGCUCCAACUACUUCUAUUAUUGUUGUGGGCAGAUUCCAGAACUUGAGUAUGCAUGAAGAAGGGGAAAGACCUUAUGGGAGUUCAACUCCCAGAUAAAAUAUUGAAUGCAAUUAGAUCUUUCCUCGAUACAUUGUUACUUUUUCUCCUUCACUAUGUUAGGUAACAUUAUUUUUAAAACACCCUUCUAAUAAUGUAGCCUUAAGAUACAACAUUCUAGGGGGGACUGGGUGGAUCAGUCAGUUAAGUGUCCAACUUUGGCUCAGGUCAUGAUCUCUCAGUUCAUGAGUUCCAGCCCCACAUCGGGCUCUGUGCUGACAGCUCAGAGCCUGGAGCCUGUGUCUCCUUCUCUCUGUGCCUCUCAUGGGUCACACUGUCUCUCUCUCAAAAACAAACAUUUAAAAAAUUAAAAUAAGCAUUCUAGAAAAUGGGAGGGAGUGGCAGAGAAGAAAACUCUGUCCCAUCAUACAUAAUGAUUUUGAUCCUGUAUUACUACCUGUUUUUCAAAAGAGAAAAGAUGUGAAGCGUGGUUAAAUACAUUACCCAAGGUCACAGAUCUGUAUGAAGUAGUUACUACUGAAAUCUGAUUCUGUGCUCUUACUAUUAUGUCACAAUUCAUGUAACCUCUUGACAACUGAAAAUUUUAUAGAACCUGGGUAGGGGAGAAAAUGGGAGGUGGCCACUGAUACAAACAUCAAUGAUUACUAAACACUACCUGGAAAGUAAUUAUAGUUAUUUUCUGCUUGGGAUAUAGUUAAAUGGGAAUUAUGUUAACUACUCAAGUUAUUCAAUAAAACACUCCACAGAACUCUUCUAAAUUCUAGAUGAUGAUGAUCACAACGGCAAAAAUGUUUUAAGCCCUUGUGUGUGAAGCACCGUGCUAAACACCGCUGGAGCUCAUUUUAUCGUCUUGCAAUGCAUGGGGUCUUAGUGACCCCAUUUAAAAAAAAAUUUUUUUAACAUUUACUUUUAAGAGAGAGAGAGAGAAAGUGUGUAUGAGUGGAGAAGGGGCAGAGAGAGGGAAACACAGAAUCAGAAGCAAGCUCCAGACUCUGAGCUGUCAGCACAGGGCUCAACGUGGGGCUCAAACCCAUGGACUGCGAGAUCAAUACCUGAGCCAAAGUCAGACACUCAACCGACUGAGCCACCCAGGCGCCCCAGUAACCCCAUUUUAUAGGAGAAACCAAUCACAGGGCUGAGAAUUGACUGCAACCCGGUCUGUCAGGCUUCCAGAGGCCCAGAGCUUGGCCAUGCUCUACUGCCUUUUCCAAUGAUAAUGGUCUCAUCUCCACAACUUCGAGGUGUCACCCUUGGGAUAAAUGAAGUCACUCCCAAUUUCUGGCAGAUUCCCUAAAGAAGAGAGAAUUGUAAUUCUGGGCCUCAUUCUCCACAUAUUACAGAUAAACUUAGUUUUGAGCAUUUCUUAGGCUAUUUUUGCAUCCUUUUCAUGCAUUCAUUUGGGAUAGUUUACAAGGAGCAUGUUUUAGAGAGAACUUUUAAUCAUUUACUGAUUUUGAAGAUGUACUUGUGGAGAGAGCUCUCACAAUUCCAGAAGCUGAUCUGAUUUGCUAUGGUCAUAGCAUUUUUACUUUCUGUCCCUUGCAUGAAUCUUUAUAUCCCUGAAAUUGUGAGAGUAAAAAAAAAAAAAAAAAAAAAAUCUAAAUGUCAACAUAAGACUUUGUAUUUUAUAUUUUAAUGGGGUGGAGGAUUCUCUUAACAAGUCCACUUUCUUUUUUGCCCAGAAAGGUGUUGACUUAAAAAAAAACAGGAUAAGGCAAGAUUUAACUAAACACUGACUGGAAGGAAGUUUUUUAAAUUCCAAGAGUCCCAGAAUCUCCUAAAGUAAAAUGAGAACCAUAUACAAUGUAGCUAUUUGCCCAAACUGCUACAGUGUACAAAUAUGCUCACUUCAAUCCUUGCAAUAAUUCUCUAUUGGCCACAUUCUACAAAUGGGGAAAUUGAGGCCCCAGGAAACUAAGAGAAUAUCUCAAGACUGUAACUACCAUUUGUGGACUUUCUGACCUUAUGCCUGAUGUAUAUAUUUGCACAUGCUUGAUCAUGCUUUAACAUUGUGCUGGUAAGUUGGUUGAAUCCAUCAACCAAAAAGAAAACUGGAGAGAUUUUGAAAAGAGCCAAGAGGAUAUGGCACAGCAUUUAUUUAUUUUUCCCAUGGAAUCUCUUAUCAGAUCGUUAUCACAGUCCACCUUGGAUAGACAGCAGUCCCAUUUCUAAGGCGCCCCACCUCUCCACCAUCUCCUUCUAACCAUCCUUUCUCCCUGAUCUUUUCCUGCCCCCUGCAUCCCAUUAGUUUCCCAUCUCUCUCUUUUUUUUUUUUAAGUUUAUUUAGAGAGAAGGGAGUAAGAGUUUAAAAGAUGUAAAAGUAUACGUGGAAAGGCAAAAUAGAGAACGCUAUGAGAGAGAAGUGGGGGAGGGGUUACUUUUGGAGGUUGAGGUUUUGCAGGGUAAAUGUAAUGGAACAAUGGAGCAAGUACUAAGGACACUACCAAAAGAAAGGUUCAUGAGAUGUCCCAAGGUACUUAGAGAAAAAUGGAAAUAAAGGCUAAGUUCAGAAUAAAGGAAAAUAUAGAGGCAUCUGUGGAACGAUGGUUUAUCCAUAUGCCUUCCAAAAGUGCUCGGGGAUUUUCACGUAAGCUGAGCUCUAGGCCUCAGAGAGAAGUUCCUUCUCCUGGUUUGUCUUUCUGUACCUCAGACAAAUGGGGAAAGGAACUAAGCCUUAGGCCACAGGGGCCUGAGGUUCUCCCCCUACUUGAGAGACACCCAGUCUCCUUUCCCUUCCUAUCUCUGGUCAAAAUUGAAAAUUGUUGGCAAGGGAGUAUGAAUAAGAUUGAAGACUUGCAUGGCUCAAACUUCAGUAUUUUCUCUACCAAAAGGGAUGUGGGUCAGGGACAAGGUCUAUAACAAGGAUGGAGCACAGGGAAAGAGAUGGGAAAGGAUCUCAGCAAAAGAAAUGAGUUCUUGGCAUUAAUGUAAUCUGGCCCUAUUUCCCAAGGCAGGAAGUCAAAGAAGGUCUGGGACAGAGUCUUUCACUAUUAAAGUAUGUACUGGCCAGGAAGACCACAGGCUGAACUGGGCCCACACUGUGAGACUGGGAGUGUUAAAUUUUUUUAAUUUGAACGCCUCGAGAGGCGUUCAUGUGCCUUCCUGCUCAGUUUAGUCUUCCCAUUGCUCCCAGCAGUCCUUCAUCGACUUCAUCUACUCUUGUCAGAACUCCUAUGUAUGUUGGCACGUGUCGCAUUAUCCUUUCAGUUUAUUUUCUGUGGGUAAUAGUAAACACUUCGAUGAAAACCUGGGAUCCUGAACAUUUGUUUCUUUUUAAGAGCCUUGUUCAACAUUCAGAAAAAAAAAAUCUUCAAAACAUUCUAUGUGACUUUGCACCAUAAUUUAUAAUCAGAUUUACUAAGUGGUUAAUUACAACCCAAACUUGCUUUUGUAUUUCCAAAGGGCUUUUUGUAAAUUCCACAUAAUGGUCAGUGAUAACAGAAUGUGACAAUACAGGGGAUGGGCUAAACAAUCUUACCAACAAGAUUAUACAAAAAAUGACAGUAAAAUACUUAACCAGU
Molecule: long non-coding RNA, 11583 nt
Organism: Felis catus (domestic cat)
Lineage: Eukaryota; Metazoa; Chordata; Mammalia; Carnivora; Felidae
Exons: 4
Source: RefSeq, a predicted model, not a curated record